Molecule: ribosomal RNA, 496 nt
Filed under: uncultured bacterium
Lineage: Bacteria
Description: partial 16S ribosomal RNA
Rfam family: Bacterial small subunit ribosomal RNA
Source: RNAcentral
GAUGAACGCUGGCGGCGUGCCUAAUACAUGCAAGUCGAGCGAAUAGACGAGGAGCUUGCUCCUCUGACGUUAGCGGCGGACGGGUGAGUAACACGUGGAUAACCUACCUAUAAGACUGGGAUAACUUCGGGAAACCGGAGCUAAUACCGGAUAAUAUAUUGAACCGCAUGGUUCAAUAGUGAAAGACGGUUUUGCUGUCACUUAUAGAUGGAUCCGCGCCGCAUUAGCUAGUUGGUAAGGUAACGGCUUACCAAGGCGACGAUGCGUAGCCGACCUGAGAGGGUGAUCGGCCACACUGGAACUGAGACACGGUCCAGACUCCUACGGGAGGCAGCAGUAGGGAAUCUUCCGCAAUGGGCGAAAGCCUGACGGAGCAACGCCGCGUGAGUGAUGAAGGUCUUCGGAUCGUAAAACUCUGUUAUUAGGGAAGAACAAUGUGUAAGUAACUAUGCACGUCUUGACGGUACCUAAUCAGAAGGCCACGGCUAACUACGUG